Molecule: ribosomal RNA, 433 nt
Filed under: uncultured bacterium
Lineage: Bacteria
Description: partial 16S ribosomal RNA
Rfam family: Bacterial small subunit ribosomal RNA
Source: RNAcentral
UGGGAAUUUUGGACAAUGGGCGAAAGCCUGAUCCAGCAAUGCCGCGUGUGUGAAGAAGGCCUUCGGGUUGUAAAGCACUUUUGUCCGGAAAGAAAUCCUUGGCUCUAAUACAGUCGGGGGAUGACGGUACCGGAAGAAUAAGCACCGGCUAACUACGUGCCAGCAGCCGCGGUAAUACGUAGGGUGCAAGCGUUAAUCGGAAUUACUGGGCGUAAAGCGUGCGCAGGCGGUUUGCUAAGACCGAUGUGAAAUCCCCGGGCUCAACCUGGGAACUGCUUGGUGACUGGCAGGCUAGAGUAUGGCAGAGGGGGGUAGAAUUCCACGUGUAGCAGUGAAAUGCGUAGAGAUGUGGAGGAAUACCGAUGGCGAAGGCAGCCCCCUGGGCAAUACUGACGCUCAUGCACGAAAGCGUGGGGAGCAAACAGGAUUAGAU